Molecule: ribosomal RNA, 581 nt
Filed under: Salmonella enterica subsp. enterica serovar Kentucky
Lineage: Bacteria; Pseudomonadati; Pseudomonadota; Gammaproteobacteria; Enterobacterales; Enterobacteriaceae
Description: partial 23S ribosomal RNA
Rfam family: Bacterial large subunit ribosomal RNA
Source: RNAcentral
GGGUUGUGAGGUUAAGCGACUAAGCGUACACGGUGGAUGCCCUGGCAGUCAGAGGCGAUGAAGGACGUGCUAAUCUGCGAUAAGCGCCGGUAAGGUGAUAUGAACCGUUAUAACCGGCGAUUUCCGAAUGGGGAAACCCAGUGUGACUCGUCACACUAUCAUUAACUGAAUCCAUAGGUUAAUGAGGCGAACCGGGGGAACUGAAACAUCUAAGUACCCCGAGGAAAAGAAAUCAACCGAGAUUCCCCCAGUAGCGGCGAGCGAACGGGGAGGAGCCCAGAGCCUGAAUCAGCAUGUGUGUUAGUGGAAGCGUCUGGAAAGGCGCGCGAUACAGGGUGACAGCCCCGUACACAAAAGCGCAUGUGCUGUGAGCUCGAUGAGUAGGGCGGGACACGUGGUAUCCUGUCUGAAUAUGGGGGGACCAUCCUCCAAGGCUAAAUACUCCUGACUGACCGAUAGUGAACCAGUACCGUGAGGGAAAGGCGAAAAGAACCCCGGCGAGGGGAGUGAAAAAGAACCUGAAACCGUGUACGUACAAGCAGUGGGAGCACAGGUUUACCUGUGUGACUGCGUACCUUUUG